UUGCGGCCAUAUCACGUUAAAACACCGGUUUCCUGUACGAUCACUAAAGUUAAGCAACGUCGAGCCUGGUCAGUACCUAGAUGGGUGACCGCUUUUGAAUAUCAGCUGCUGUAAG
Non-coding RNA from Acanthosepion pharaonis, 115 nucleotides. Lineage: Eukaryota; Metazoa; Mollusca; Cephalopoda; Sepiida; Sepiidae. The record is from the annotation of a GenBank genome assembly.